RNAcentral lists this ribosomal RNA (467 nucleotides) under uncultured bacterium. RNAcentral describes it as "partial 16S ribosomal RNA". It matches the Rfam family "Bacterial small subunit ribosomal RNA", at positions 28 to 507 of the family's 1533-position model. The record is from RNAcentral.
GACGAACGCUGGCGGCGUGCUUAACACAUGCAAGUCGAACGGAAAGGCCUCUUUCGGGGGGUACUCGAGUGGCGAACGGGUGAGUAACACGUGAGUAACCUGCCCUUGGCUUUGGGAUAACUCCAGGAAACGGGGGCUAAUACCGGAUAGGAGCUCCUGCUGCAUGGUGGGGGUUGGAAAGCUUCGGCGGUUGGGGGUGGACUCGCGGCUUAUCAGCUUGGUUGUGGGGGAGUGGCUUACCAGGGCUUUGACGGGUAGCCGGCCAGAGAGAGUGAGCGGCCGCAUUGGGACCGAGAGACGGCCCAGACGCCGACGGGUGGCAGAUGGGGGGAAUCUUGCACCAUGGAUGGAAGCCUGAUGAAGAAAGGCUGUGGGCGGGAUAGCGCUUUUCGGUUUGUAAACCGCUUUUGCGCUUGACGAAGCGUUGUGUGACGGUAGUGGGUAAAUAAGCACCGGCUAACUACGUG